ACAGAGGUGGCAAGCGUUGUUCGGAUUUACUGGGCGUAAAGGGCGCGUAGGCGGUCCCGUGUGUCGAGUGUGAAAUCUCCGGGCUCAACCCGGAAAGUGCGCUCGAAACUGCGGAACUUGAGCACAGGAGGGGAGAGCGGAAUUCAAGGUGUAGCGGUGAAAUGCGUUGAUAUCUUGAAGAACACCGGUGGCGAAGGCGGCUCUCUGGAAUGUUGCUGACGCUGAGGCGCGAAAGUUGGGGGAGCAAACAG
This 251-nucleotide ribosomal RNA is filed under the name uncultured prokaryote. RNAcentral's name for it is "partial 16S rRNA". It matches the Rfam family "Bacterial small subunit ribosomal RNA", at positions 525 to 775 of the family's 1533-position model. The record is from RNAcentral.